GGAGGGGGCGGCUGCCAGCACCUGAGUUUGGAGUCUGAGAUGUCUAAUUCCAGGUGCAUGAGGUGUCGCUCGGUUCCCUGGUUCAGCUUCCGGUUGGUGGUGACCUCAGCCAAGAACGGAUUCUUGGCAUCGAAGGGGCUGGGUGGGGAAGAGAGCAGCUCAGUGAUUGGCCAAGCCCUCAGUCCGAAUCUCCCUGCCCCCAAGGGACCCUUCUGGUUUCACAGAACACAGGGAACCUUAGAGCCGGCCUCCAAGGGCCCCAGGAAACCUCUCCAAUUAUGUCAAAGGUUCUCCCAGCCCCAUCCAAGGCAGUGCCCCCAACGACCCCCAGAAGUGGGCAGAGCUGGGUUAUCAGUGUCUCCAUUUACAGAUAAGGAAACUGAGGCUGGCCCCUAAAGGUCCUGGGUUAUCAGUGUCUCCAUUUACAGAUAAGGAAACUGAGGCUGGCCCCUAAAGGUCAAGGAGACCCUCCACCCACUACGUGUUCGUGGGCUGAGUGACAGGAGGACCAGACCCUGUAGACCGCACCCCACGACAAGCUCUUCAGUCUGCCCAUCUCCCCGACGUACACCUUGGCCGUGUCGAUGUCUGUGUGGACCACAAGCUCGUACUGGCGAAUGCUGGCAAGGGGAGACAGGGUGAGGCGGGGAGGGUCCGGAGGAGGUGGGAGGGCCGGGAGCCUGGGAUGCCACAGGCUUUGAAGCCAUUCUAGGAGAAGAUGAGGAAAGGCCCCCCCCCCCCAGUUGCCCGUCCCUUCCAGGCAAAGCCCAAGUGCCUUAACGGGGGCCCCAGGACCCCCUCGUUCUGGGACUGAACGUCUGCCAGGUCCUGGCAUGCCCCUCCCCCCGUGCGCGCACGCUCACCUGGACUCCUCCCCGGUGGCCUCCACCCCGAAGUGCUCGCACACAGCCGGCCAGAACUGCUCUCGCCACGUGAUGAAGUCCUCCUCCAGACUUGGGGGAUAGCGGGGAGUGAGUGAGCCCCUCUCCCCGCCCAGCCUGAGGGCCCCCACCCCCACCUGGGGAGGAGCCUGAGGCAUCAGGGGGCACUUGGGGGGGCUGUGCUAAGCAGGCGCAGCUCGGAGCCCAGAGGUUGUGGAAGAGCAAGGACGGGUUGACUGCCCUCCCUGCCGCUGGCGCGGCCUGUGGCAGCUUCUCAGACAAGUGGCUGGCAUGCCCUCGUGUGUCCCGGUGGGCCCUAACCCUGUGGGCUCCAGGGAGAGGGGCCCGGGCACUCACUUCCCAUCGUCGUCGCCCAUCCCCAGCUCGAAGAUCCGCUGGGCGCCGAGCUGCUCCAGCCGCUUGUCCACGUACUUGCCCAUGGCGUUGAAGUGCUCGUAGGUCUUGUUCCCGAGACCAAACACCUGUGUGGACAGAGGGACGCGUCUGAGGCCUGGUCAGCGGUCAGGGGUGGGUUUCCCCCGGGCUGGCCAAGCCACCACACUGCACCCUUGGGCCUCUACACCUGCCAGGCACCUUGCACUGUGAGGCGGGCCACCUUUGGGCCCUAGAAGUGGCUUUGUUUUGGUGACGUGUGGCCCCUAAGCCUCAACCCUGGGCGGCCAGCAGGGGUGAUUCACCCUCCUGGCCCCGCCUGUGGUGGUCAGUCUGCUCCACCCUUCUCCCCUUUCCCACAAACAGUGCUCCUGGAGCAAAGCAGGACUGGGGAUCCGGGAGCACACUCUCAGCGCUGGAGCCCUGGGCAGAAGCGAGGGCUGUCCCACGAGCAGCCUUCCCUGGACCUCCCCGCCAGGCCCCUGCUCUAAGCCUCUGCCCUGACACCUUGGCCUGGUGGGAACUGAGGGUCCAGGGGCCCCAGAGAGCCCUGGGGGGAAGAUGGGGAGACUCACCGCAUACUUGACUCCAGAGAGGUCCACAUCCGUCUCCUGGAGCCAGUCGUAGAAGUCCUGUGCAUUGUCUGUGGGGUCCCCCUCACCAUAGGUGGCCAUGCAGAACACUGCCAGGGAGUUGUCGAUCUCCGGCAGGCUGCCCAGGUCGGCCUGGAGAGACGAGAGCAGGGCCCAGGCCCAGCGACCGUGACUGAGCCUGUGUCAGGUCUGUGCCCACUGGGAUGCAGACAGGUGAGCCCAGGCCCUGCCCAGGGCGGCUGCUGUGGGAUGGGACAGAAUGAUUCCGUUGGGAAGGGGCAUGGAGCAGUCAGGGAGGGCUGCAUGGAGGGGGCUGGCAUAUGAACCAGUGCCUUUCCAAAGGAAAGGGAACAGCAGGCACGAAAGAACACGCGUAAGGGGCUGACAGGCAGAAGCAGGCUCGGGUCUGGGCCACCAGCCAGCACUCAGAACCCGGUUCUGUGCAUGGGGCCCUGGGAGACCCUCCUCGUCCCACAACAUCCUGGGACCGCAGCAGGGCCUGGGCUCUUGCAAAUUCCUAACCAGCUGCUGGCUAAUUUAAAACCCAGGCGUGCAGACAGACGGGGCGGCGGUGCUGGUCACUAAGACCCAAGGUGGUGAAUGCAGGAGAGAUUGGUUCCGGGGGAAGGGACAGCUGGCAGUGGGGGCUGGGCUACCUCACAAUGACCCCGUCAGGGGAGGAGCAAGACGGCAACUCCGGCUUCACCCGCCUUCCUGUCCACCGCCUCUACCUGGGGCUGGUGGCCGGGCUGUCAUUAGCCCCCUGACUCUGAAAUAGGCAAGCAGACGGCUAGAAGUUUCUUGGGCUUUCGAGAGCUGCUUCCAAGCUUGGGAAGGACACGCAGCCAAUGUCUGGAGGAGAGUGAGCAAGGCCACGCCCACCCCACCUGGUGCUUGCGUCCCAGCGCAGCCCCCAGCAUGGGGGCGCCCAGGGCGCACAGCGCAGGGAAGGCUGAGGGUACACCGCGCCAGGAGCUCACACGUGCACGCCGGGGGCCAGCUGGCUGCCCGGACAAACGACAGGAGAUGCCCGUCCCCGUCCGUCCGGGUGGCUGACUCACCCGCACUACAGGAAGAGCUAGGAGAAGGGCUGGGGAGUGGGGCCUGCUCACCAAGUCAUACUCCUCGGGGUCUGCAGCCAUGCCCCGCAUCCCGUAGCGGUGCGCGUCCUUGGACAAGCGGUUGGCAAACUCCUCUGCCGUCCCCGUCUGGGAGCCGUAGAACACGAUGAUGUUCCUGCCCUAGGGAAGGCCAGACACGCAGGAUCAGUGAGGGACCAAGAGCCACAGGCUUCAGCAGAGACCCCAGGUGGCCACAGGGCGGGCUAGGCAGGUGAGGUCUGUCCAGGGCGCCCUCUUCGAUCCUGCUCCAAGUCUUCCUAAGUCACUUGGGGGCGAUCGUCCCACUGCCCCAGCUACUUCCGGAGGACAGUGACAAAAGCCAUCCAGAAGUGAAGUGUGCUCUGCACACUUGGGACAGAUUUUUAAAGGACAUGUAAAAAAAGAUGACCAGGGGCGCCUGGGUGGCUCAGUUGGUUCGGUGGCCGGCUUCGGCUCAGGUCAUGAUCUCACAGUU
This is a long non-coding RNA of Suricata suricatta (meerkat), 3442 nucleotides long. RefSeq lists it as uncharacterized. The transcript has 3 exons. Lineage: Eukaryota; Metazoa; Chordata; Mammalia; Carnivora; Herpestidae. The record is from RefSeq and is a predicted model, not a curated record.